RNAcentral lists this transfer RNA (102 nucleotides) under Aureobasidium melanogenum CBS 110374. It matches the Rfam family "tRNA". Rfam says of the family: Transfer RNA (tRNA) molecules are approximately 80 nucleotides in length. Their secondary structure includes four short double-helical elements and three loops (D, anti-codon, and T loops). Further hydrogen bonds mediate the characteristic L-shaped molecular structure. tRNAs have two regions of fundamental functional importance: the anti-codon, which is responsible for specific mRNA codon recognition, and the 3' end, to which the tRNAs corresponding amino acid is attached (by aminoacyl-tRNA synthetases). tRNAs cope with the degeneracy of the genetic code in two manners: having more than one tRNA (with a specific anti-codon) for a particular amino acid; and 'wobble' base-pairing, i.e. permitting non-standard base-pairing at the 3rd anti-codon position. The record is from Rfam by way of RNAcentral. Lineage: Eukaryota; Fungi; Ascomycota; Dothideomycetes; Dothideales; Saccotheciaceae.
GGCCUAAUGGUCUAGUCGUAUGAUUGUUGCUUCGGGUCAAACCCACUUGCAAAAGCAAGUGCCAAAUGUGACAGGUCCCGGGUUCAAAUCCCGGUUGGGCCC